AGAGUCUCUGCACACAGCUGCGUGCACCUUAACUGUACGAAGGCGCCAGGCCUACUCGGAACUCUAGCUCUGUACUGUGCUCUGGUACUACAUGGACUAAGUUGCUAGAUGUACUAGACUGCAAGAUGGCACACUGCUUUGACUCGGAACUAUAGAGGUUCAUGGAGUCGAGCUAUUUAAACGAGGUUAAAGAAUAUGCGUCGCAAAUUGAGAUUCAACAUCUGUCCAAAGAUAAACCACUGCUCUUUAAAAGGAAUAGUCCAAAAACAAAGCGUAACAAAGGUGCUAUCAGGAGUGAUAUGAUCGACCAGCAGUUACAGAUGUGCGUAUAUACUUACCUUCUAUCCACCACUGACCGAUUAUGUCUAUGAAAAGAUACCUAUAUAGAUUUACUUUUGAGGAAAAUUGGAAAGAAUUCGAACAAAGGAGAACAAUGUUAAGCUACAGGAGCUGGUUGAAGACUAUGCAGUCACUGGUGCAGUCACAAUCUAAUGUUCUGAAGAUAAUACUGUAAGAAGAAGGAUGCAGUACAAAUGAUAUUUGUCAAGCUGCUGCUCCACGUGGAUGACAUGCAACGUUCGUUCAAGGUAGAAAAAGUGCUAUUGAAUCUGGAUCAAUGAACUACUUCGUCAUCGUAGAGAAAGAAGUGUAUGAAGUAGACUCAUUCUAUGAAACUCUUGUACUAUGUUUUUGACAUUUUAGUACCCACGUGCAUGUCUGCAUGGCACCCUUUUAUUUUUUAUUUUUAAGGUGCCUAAGUGUAUUGUGGUCGUAGUUAUUAAACACUUUAUGAGGUUAUAGGUAUACAUAUCUUCAUACUUUUAUUGUAUGCUAUCGUGAUGCAUAUCAUUAUACACAUGCUAUAAUUAUGUUACGUCAUUUAAGUCAAGUGCAUGAGCUUAUCGAGAAGUGCAAUAAGCAUGCAUGCAAUAUUUUAUGCUUUGCAUGAAGAGUAGCAAUGACAACUGUACCUGUAGUAACAGCAGCACCCAUCC
This is a long non-coding RNA of Halichondria panicea, 995 nucleotides long. RefSeq lists it as uncharacterized. The transcript has 5 exons. NCBI's taxonomy places the organism in Eukaryota, Metazoa, Porifera, Demospongiae, Suberitida, Halichondriidae. The record is from RefSeq and is a predicted model, not a curated record.